Long non-coding RNA from Mercenaria mercenaria, 247 nucleotides. RefSeq lists it as uncharacterized. The transcript has 3 exons. NCBI's taxonomy places the organism in Eukaryota, Metazoa, Mollusca, Bivalvia, Venerida, Veneridae. The record is from RefSeq and is a predicted model, not a curated record.
CAUACUUUUUCAGAGUCCAUCCAGCAAAAGAAAGAAAACCAGUCUUUGAGAGAAGCAUUGGCUAACGAGCAUGCAAAUAACAUAUUUUCAGCCUGCAUGAAUCAGAAUAGAAUGCUCCAGAGAUUUCUGGCGAGGCCAUUGAAUCAGAUGUGUCAAAAAUUUCCUUGAUUGACGAUGAUCACUACAGACCUAGACGGAGAAUCCAAAUCGAAAAAUGUAAAUACGUGUUCCUAGAACAGGACGAGAG